GUGGGAUUCUGCCUGAUCAAUUUUGUCAUCAUUCCUGCCUCCUGGGGCCAUUCUGCCUUGGCAGUGUUUUGCAUCACCAGCAAACAGCACGGAAGACAAUGCAAUGAUUCCCAUGAAGAGAAGUGUGUAAGGGCUGUGCUUUGUUUUGGGAGGAUUAGCAGUUGCAUACAACCCAUCACUGUAUUCUGGAAAGCUUUACUGUCAGUGACACUUACUCACUGGAGUUUCAAGACACUAUAAAAGUAUUAUGAGAUCAAACACUGGAGGGAGAGGGGCAUCCACAUGCCCAAGGGAGGUCCUGCUGCUGACAACUGCACUGUCCUGUAGUGGUCAGGGAUGCUUCAGGGCUGGUGGAGAGAAAAAUCCUGGGCACUGGCAGGCUUGCAGGGACUCCUGGGAGCUACUUGAAGAGACCUCAGGGUCAAAAGUCCAGAUCCAGAUGAUGUCAUCUUUUUGCCAAUUACACUCCUGUGUCAGCUGCAUCCAAGAAUACAGAAUGUCAAAGCCUCGGAGCUCCAAGAAAUGUCUCAGCUGGCACUUGACUCCCCUUGGCUUCUGAACACUGAGUACAUGUGCACAGAAGGCUUUUGCUAUUUCAUCUCAAAUCUGACAUCCCAAAUUGUAGAGCUCUCAUGGUGAGGACUGAUUUUGAUUCUGUGGUUUUGACUUCCCCACUCACAGUGAUAGCCACAAACACAAAUGUCCAGCCCACAGCUGGACAAAAACAUCAUGUGAUGGGUGAGCAGCUGGCUCACAGGGUGGGCACAAAGGGUUACAGUGAAUGGGGUGACAUCAGAUGGUCACCUGUCACCAGUGGGGUUCCACAGGGCUCCAUCCUCGGCCCUGUGCUCUUCAAUAUCUUCACAAAUUACUUGGAUGCAGGAUUUCCUCAUCCAAGAUGGGGAAAUAGUCUCAUAGAGACAAGUUUUGAGAGAGCUGAGCUGUUUACUGCUAUGUUGGUAUUCAGACCAUCAAGCCUUACUAAAAACAGCAAAUCAUGGAAUAACUUGUGUUUACUUAGAGAUUCUUAGUGAACCACUGUCAGCAUCUAAACAGCUUUUGACAUUUCAGAGCAUUUGACCAUGAGCAGAUUCAACCUUGAUGUUUGAAGACAAUAAAGCAAGAUGGGUGUCGCACAUUAAAUAUUAUUUUGUUUCCCAGUCAGAAUUCAUAACAUGAGCUCAUCUGAGCAUGUCACAGCUGUAGUCUAAAUCAGAGCCUGAGCAUCAUCCUCACAUUGCAUAUUUAACUUAGUAAAUAUUGUGCUUUCUUUGGUUUUGGCAGCAGGAGGCAGGAAGUUCUCAAAGUCCUUGUGUGGGCUCCUGAGUGCUGCAGCUCCUGACGAGAGGAUAUACAGAAGGAAUGUCCAAGGUCUUUAUACAGGCUUUGUCCUUGUCCUUUGUUCUAGCAGGCAGAGAGAGAGAACCAAAAGUAAUUUGAGAUAAUUGUUCAGGUUGCCUGGCCAUACACUGGCAUAACACAGCAGCACAGAGUGUGGAGGAAGUUCAUGGUGAUGCAACCCCUAAAAAGCCAAAUUGCCCCUUGUUGGUGCUUAAUUUGAGAAAACUGUAAAAAGGCAAUUAGAGAAAUGCAAUGUAUUUCUUUACACUUGGUUCUGCUCCAGAAUAAUAGACCAUCUGGUAUGGACUUUGUGAAGGGACAUGUAUCUGCCUCAGUGGUUUCAACAUGCCAAUGCCAAACUUAAAGACAAUUUUAAGGUAAGGACUAGAAGGCAGGGUGGGAUACAGGGUGGGUCCUGGUGAUCUGAACAGAGGAGCUGAAACAGCCCAUGCAGUUGCUUGUCCAGCCCAGAAACACCCAGUACCAGCUCAGCUCCUCCCUACCACCAAUGUGCCACUUCUUGUGGGACAGAUUACAUUAAGCCCCAUCUCUACUGCCACUUCAUAUCUGAGAAAGUUCAGCUGUCUAUUCAAAUCUAUCUCAAAG
This is a long non-coding RNA of Passer domesticus (house sparrow), 1947 nucleotides long. RefSeq lists it as uncharacterized. The record is from RefSeq and is a predicted model, not a curated record. Lineage: Eukaryota; Metazoa; Chordata; Aves; Passeriformes; Passeridae. The transcript has 5 exons.